Molecule: ribosomal RNA, 253 nt
Filed under: uncultured bacterium
Lineage: Bacteria
Description: partial 16S ribosomal RNA
Rfam family: Bacterial small subunit ribosomal RNA
Source: RNAcentral
UACGUAGGGGGCGAGUGUUGUCCGGAAUCAUUGGGCGUAAAGCGCGUGUAGGCGGUUCAGUAAGUCUGCUGUGAAAGUCCAGGGCUCAACCCUGGGAUGCCGGUGGAUACUGCUGAACUAGAGUGCGGAAGAGGCGAGUGGAAUUCCCGGUGUAGCGGUGAAAUGCGCAGAUAUCGGGAGGAACACCAAUUGCGAAGGCAGCUCGCUGGGACGUUACUGACGCUGAGACGCGAAAGCGUGGGGAGCAAACAGG